UGAAAGACAGGGACCUAGUGUUGGAGU
RNAcentral lists this non-coding RNA (27 nucleotides) under Mus musculus (house mouse). Lineage: Eukaryota; Metazoa; Chordata; Mammalia; Rodentia; Muridae. The record is from RNAcentral.